GGACGACGCUGGCGGCGUGCCUAUUACAUGCAAGUCGAGCGGACAGAUGGGAGCUUGCUCCCUGAUGUUAGCGGCGGACGGGUGAGUAACACGUGGGUAACCUGCCUGUAAGACUGGGAUAACUCCGGGAAACCGGGGCUAAUACCGGAUGGUUGUUUGAACCGCAUGGUUCAGACAUAAAAGGUGGCUUCGGCUACCACUUACAGAUGGACCCGCGGCGCAUUAGCUAGUUGGUGAGGUAACGGCUCACCAAGGCGACGAUGCGUAGCCGACCUGAGAGGGUGAUCGGCCACACUGGGACUGAGACACGGCCCAGACUCCUACGGGAGGCAGCAGUAGGGAAUCUUCCGCAAUGGACGAAAGUCUGACGGAGCAACGCCGCGUGAGUGAUGAAGGUUUUCGGAUCGUAAAGCUCUGUUGUUAGGGAAGAACAAGUGCCGUUCAAAUAGGGCGGCACCUUGACGGUACCUAACCAGAAAGCCACGGCUAACUACGUGCCAGCAGCCGCGGUAAUACGUAGGUGGCAAGCGUUGUCCGGAAUUAUUGGGCGUAAAGGGCUCGCAGGCGGUUUCUUAAGUCUGAUGUGAAAGCCCCCGGCUCAACCGGGGAGGGUCAUUGGAAACUGGGGAACUUGAGUGCAGAAGAGGAGAGUGGAAUUCCACGUGUAGCGGUGAAAUGCGUAGAGAUGUGGAGGAACACCAGUGGCGAACGCGACUCUCUGGUCUGUAACUGACGCUGAGGAGCGAAAGCGUGGGGAGCGAACAGGAUUAGAUACCCUGCUAGUCCACGCCGUAACGAUGAGUGCUAAGUGUUAUGGGGUUUCCGCCCCUUAGUGCUGCAGCUAACGCAUUAGCACUCCGCCUGGGGGAGUACGGUCGCAGACUGAAACU
Molecule: ribosomal RNA, 890 nt
Filed under: Bacillus amyloliquefaciens
Lineage: Bacteria; Bacillati; Bacillota; Bacilli; Caryophanales; Bacillaceae
Description: bacterial SSU rRNA
Rfam family: Bacterial small subunit ribosomal RNA
Source: RNAcentral